This 351-nucleotide ribosomal RNA is filed under the name Arachosia bergi. Its description in RNAcentral is "partial 16S ribosomal RNA". Lineage: Eukaryota; Metazoa; Arthropoda; Arachnida; Araneae; Anyphaenidae. The record is from RNAcentral.
UUGUGCUAAGGUAGCAUAAUCAUUUGUCUUUUAAUUAAAGACUAGAACAAAAGAUUUAACAAUUCAAUAAAUUUAUUAUAAUUAAUCAUAUUAAUUUAUUUUAAAUGUAAAAAAACAUUUAUAUAAUAGGAAGACGACAAGACCCUUUUAAACUUCACUAUAGUUAAACUGGGGCAGUUAAUCAAAUAUCACUUUAAUAAAAAUAUAAACAUAAGAGAUCCAAUACAAUUGAUUACAUGAUCAAGUUACUAUAGGGAUAACAGCGUUAUAUAUAUCUAAAGAUCUUAUUUAAAUAUAAAACUUGCGACCUCGAUGUUGAAUUAAUAUCCUAAAUUACUGCAACAAGUAAAU